GAUGAAGAACGAAGCGAAACGCGAUAUGUAAUGUGAAUUGCAGAAUUCAGUGAAUCAUCGAAUCUUUGAACGCACAUGGCGCCUUCCAGUAUCCUGGGAGGCAUGCCUGUCCGAGCGUCGUUUCAACCCUCGAGCCCCCGUGGCCCGGCGUUGGGGAUCUGCCCAGGCAGUCCCCGAAAACCAGUGGCGGACCCGUUACAGGCCCUUCCCUUGCGUAGUAGCAUUCGCCUCGCAUCGGGAGCCGGCGGGCUUCCAGCCUCUAAACCCCCAUCAAGUCCGCCCCGGCGGCACCAAGGUUGACCUCGGAUCAGGUAGGAAUACCCGCUGAACUUAAGCAUAUCAAUAAGCGGAGGA
Molecule: unclassified non-coding RNA, 354 nt
Filed under: soil metagenome
Description: partial contains 5.8S ribosomal RNA, internal transcribed spacer 2, and large subunit ribosomal RNA
Rfam family: 5.8S ribosomal RNA (bases 1-120)
Source: RNAcentral